GUUAAUUAGUUUAAGUAAAAUAAAAACUUUGUAAGUUUAAGAU
RNAcentral lists this transfer RNA (43 nucleotides) under Trichonephila clavata. RNAcentral's name for it is "tRNA-Thr". The record is from RNAcentral. Lineage: Eukaryota; Metazoa; Arthropoda; Arachnida; Araneae; Nephilidae.